This 2139-nucleotide unclassified non-coding RNA is filed under the name Bactrocera tryoni. RNAcentral describes it as "organic cation transporter protein, transcript variant X3". The record is from RNAcentral. Lineage: Eukaryota; Metazoa; Arthropoda; Insecta; Diptera; Tephritidae.
CACUUUCGACGAACACAAAGGCAAUAAAUUGUACAACGAAAACACAAGAGUAGGGAGAAUUCAUUAGAAUGUUCCAACGAACGUAAGCGCCGCGUAGCUUUUCUGAUGCGCUGACUCCGCGGCUAGUUCUAUUUCAAUCGCGGAUCAGCAAAAACGGAGUGCCGAUUGAUAAGCGCAACAGUUGCUGGACAGUGAAUCGACAUCGGAAAUUAUUUGGUGUAAUAACAGCUUAGAGGCAGGGCUAACGGAGCGACAGCUGUGAAGUUGUGAGCACGCAAACGUAUUGCUGAAGCGGUGUCAGAAUUGUCUAACUGUACUUGCGCACAGUAGAAAUGUUGGAGCUCGACAAAAUCUUGGAGAAAUGUGGCGACUGUCAUCGCUUGCAGGCGAUAAUGCUGUUAUUAUUCUGCAUCAUCAAUUUGCUUUCCGCACUGCACUACUACUCACAGACGAUCAUAAGUUUCGUGCCGAAAUAUUGGUGCAUCGACGGCUAUGCGAAUCCGACGGACGCUUAUGCGGUUGCCAGCGAGCAGACAGGCUCAUCAUGUCUGCCACAUCGGUUUGCAGAGGGGGAUGAAGCCGCGUUUCAGAAUGUCACCGCAAAUGUGUCGCACACGUGUCAGCAAUUCGACUAUGAGCUGUAUAUGGGCUAUCAAAGCUUUACCAGCGAGCUGAAUUGGAUUUGUGAACGCGCUUGGCAGGCAACAUUGGGGCAAUCGAUGUUUUUUGUUGGCUCAGUGGUGGGCAGCUUACUGUUUGGCUUUCUGGCAGAUAGCUUGGGUCGACUUCCCAUUUUGAUCGCCGCCAAUGUAGUGGCAAUGGUUGGUAAUUCCUUGACCAUCUUUGGUACAACGCUUGCAACUUUUUCGUUAUUUCGCUUUCUAUCCGGUAUGGCGACCGAUAGCAACUUCGUUAUGAUGUAUAUUUUAGUUAUGGAGUACUUGCGUCCAUCUCUACGCACUGUUGGGCUGAGCAUCUGCAUUGGUUGCUUUUACUGCCUCGGUUCAAUGGCUGCACCGUGGAUUGCUAUUUUGCUGCAUACGUGGCGCGGUUUCCUUAUCGCUACCUCGACCCCCUUUGCCAUUGUGCCGUUAUUCUACUUCAUUGUGCCCGAGAGUGUACAGUGGUUGAUCUCCAAGCAAAAAUACGACAAAGCCGUUGAGUGCCUGAAGCGUGUGGCGAAGAUCAAUGGACGUGCAGUGGAGGAAUCCGUUUAUACCGAAUUCAUAGAUGAAUGCAAGCGCAGACAGUUGCAUACGAAAUCUGGUCCGAAUCUCUUUGGGCUAUUUGCAACGCCACGCUUGCGACGCAACACGCUUAUCUUGUUUUUUAAGUCCAUGGUCAUCACUUUGUGUUACGACGCGGUGUCGCGGAAUGUUCAAGGUCUCGGCAUAUCGCCAUUUGUCAUGUUCACAUUGAGCGCCACGGCCAUAUUACCGGCCUGCAUACUGUUGAUCGUGCUGCAAGAUCGCAUCGGCCGCAAAGCGAUGGCGUCCAUGUCACUGCUGCUAAGUGGUAUUUUUAUAUCGGUCACCGGUGCAAUACUCUUCUGUACUGAGCGUAGUGGCGGCGAGAAGGAUGUCGUAUUGGUCGUGAUAUUGUCGGUUAUAGGACGAUUUGGUGUAACGGUUGCUUACAAUUCUGGCGCGCAAUAUGCAACUGAGUUGAUACCGACUUGCGUGCGCGGCCAAGGUGUAGCGGUGGUGCAUGUCAUGGGUUAUGCGUUCACCUUCUUCAGUUCGUACAUUUUGUACACACGUUCGAUCUUUCAACCAAUGCCGGAGAUAAUUUUGGGUCUACUUUCGUUGUUGGGUGCUGGAUUGUGUUUACUGUUGCCUGAGACGCUCAAUAGUGCGCUCUCUUCACUUUGGAGGCCAGUUGCGUUGGUAUUAUUUUUAUGCUUUUGCAACAUGUUGAGUAUAAUAUCUAGUUUUGUUCAUCUAACGGUUGAAUGUAUCACCUAAAACUAAUCGAGAUAGAUAUAGGGUUAUAUACUAUAUAAAUGAUCAUGAAUGAACUUUAUAUUAACAAAUUCUUCAAUCUAACGAACCUUGCCCACUUCUCUGGAAGAUGGAGAAAACUUUGGCAAAAACGAGCGUUGGUAUAAUUUCAGUUUCCUGGAGAAACGUACACAAUCGG